This 343-nucleotide unclassified non-coding RNA is filed under the name soil metagenome. RNAcentral describes it as "partial contains 5.8S ribosomal RNA, internal transcribed spacer 2, and large subunit ribosomal RNA". The stretch from base 1 to 120 matches the Rfam family "5.8S ribosomal RNA", at positions 35 to 154 of the family's 154-position model. The record is from RNAcentral.
GAUGAAGAACGUAGCGAAAUGCGAUAAGUAAUGUGAAUUGCAGAAUCCAGUGAAUCAUCGAAUCUUUGAACGCACAUUGCGCCCGCCAGCAUUCUGGUGGGCAUGCCUGUUCGAGCGUCAUUUCAACCCUCGACCUCCCUUUGGGGAAGUCGGCGUUGGGGACCGGCAGCACACCGCCGGCCCUGAAAUGGAGUGGCGGCCCGUCCGCGGCGACCUCUGCGUAGUAAACCAACUCGCACCGGAACCCCGACGUGGCCACGCCGUAAAACACCCAACUUCUGAACGUUGACCUCGAAUCAGGUAGGACUACCCGCUGAACUUAAGCAUAUCAAUAAGCGGAGGA